CGAACGCUGGCGGCGUGCUAACACAUGCAAGUCGAACGCGAAAGGGACUUCGGUCCUGAGUAAAGUGGCGCACGGGUGAGUAACGCGUAGAUAACCUGUCUUCAUGUCUGGAAUAAUACGCCGAAAGGGGUACUAAUACCAGAUAUUCUUGCUUUUCAUAAGUUAUGCAAGCAAAGGUGGCCUCUGCAUAUGCUACUGCAUGAAGAGGGGUCUGCGUACCAUUAGCUAGUAGGUGGGGUAAUGGCCUACCUAGGCGACGAUGGUUAGCGGGUCUGAGAGGAUGAUCCGCCACACUGGCACUGGAACACGGGCCAGACUCCUACGGGAGGCAGCAGUGAGGAAUAUUGCGCAAUGGGGGAAACCCUGACGCAGCGACGCCGCGUGAGUGAGGAAGGCCUUCGGGUCGUAAAGCUCUGUCAAGAGGAAAGAAGUGUACAAUGGCUAAUACCUGUUGUAUUUGACGGUACCUCUAAAGGAAGCACCGGCUAACUCCGUGCCAGCCGCCGC
Molecule: ribosomal RNA, 507 nt
Filed under: uncultured bacterium
Lineage: Bacteria
Description: bacterial SSU rRNA
Rfam family: Bacterial small subunit ribosomal RNA
Source: RNAcentral